UACGUAGGUCCCGAGCGUUGUCCGGAUUUAUUGGGCGUAAAGCGAGCGCAGGUGGUUUAUUAAGUCUGGUGUAAAAGGCAGUGGCUCAACCAUUGUAUGCAUUGGAAACUGGUAGACUUGAGUGCAGGAGAGGAGAGUGGAAUUCCAUGUGUAGCGGUGAAAUGCGUAGAUAUAUGGAGGAACACCGGUGGCGAAAGCAGCUCUCUGGCCUGUAACUGACACUGAGGUUCGAAAGCGUGGGUAGCAAACAGG
Molecule: ribosomal RNA, 252 nt
Filed under: uncultured bacterium
Lineage: Bacteria
Description: partial 16S ribosomal RNA
Rfam family: Bacterial small subunit ribosomal RNA
Source: RNAcentral